RNAcentral lists this ribosomal RNA (353 nucleotides) under uncultured bacterium. Its description in RNAcentral is "bacterial SSU rRNA". It matches the Rfam family "Bacterial small subunit ribosomal RNA", at positions 1037 to 1391 of the family's 1533-position model. The record is from RNAcentral.
GGUGGUGCAUGGUUGUCGUCAGCUCGUGUCGUGAGAUGUUGGGUUAAGUCCCGCAACGAGCGCAACCCUUAAGCUUAGUUGCCAGCAUUCAGUUGGGCACUCUAAGGUGACUGCCGGUGACAAACCGGAGGAAGGUGGGGAUGACGUCAAAUCAUCAUGCCCCUUAUGACCUGGGCUACACACGUGCUACAAUGGACGGUACAAACGGUUGCCAACCCGCGAGGGGGAGCUAAUCCGAUAAAACCGUUCUCAGUUCGGAUUGUAGGCUGCAACUCGCCUACAUGAAGCCGGAAUCGCUAGUAAUCGUGGAUCAGCAUGCCACGGUGAAUACGUUCCCGGGUCUUGUACACACC